GACGAACGCGGCGGCGUGCCUAAUACAUGCAAGUGGGACGCAAGGAAACACACUGUGCUUGCACACCGUGUUUUCUUGAGUCGCGAACGGGUGAGUAACGCGUAGGUAACCUGCCUAUUAGCGGGGGAUAACUAUUGGAAACGAUAGCUAAUACCGCAUAAUAUUAAUUAUUGCAUGAUAAUUGAUUGAAAGAUGCAAGCGCAUCACUAGUAGAUGGACCUGCGUUGUAUUAGCUAGUUGGUAAGGUAAGAGCUUACCAAGGCGACGAUACAUAGCCGACCUGAGAGGGUGAUCGGCCACACUGGGACUGAGACACGGCCCAGACUCCUACGGGAGGCAGCAGUAGGGAAUCUUCGGCAAUGGACGAAAGUCUGACCGAGCAACGCCGCGUGAGUGAAGAAGGUUUUCGGAUCGUAAAGCUCUGUUGUAAGUCAAGAACGUGUGUGAGAGUGGAAAGUUCACACAGUGACGGAGCUACC
RNAcentral lists this ribosomal RNA (479 nucleotides) under Streptococcus mutans. RNAcentral describes it as "bacterial SSU rRNA". It matches the Rfam family "Bacterial small subunit ribosomal RNA", at positions 28 to 483 of the family's 1533-position model. Lineage: Bacteria; Bacillati; Bacillota; Bacilli; Lactobacillales; Streptococcaceae. The record is from RNAcentral.